GACGAACGCUGGCGGCGUGCUUAACACAUGCAAGUCGAACGGAAAGGCCCUGCUUGCAGGGUACUCGAGUGGCGAACGGGUGAGUAACACGUGGGUGAUCUGCCCUGCACUUCGGGAUAAGCCUGGGAAACUGGGUCUAAUACCGGAUAGGAGCCAUUUUUAGUGUAAUGGUUGGAAAGUCUUUUCGGUGUAGGAUUAGCUCGCGGCCUAUCAGCUUGUUGGUGGGGUAAUGGCCUACCAAGGCGGCGACGGGUAGCCGGCCUGAGAGGGUGGACGGGCACAGUGGGACUGAGAUACGGACCCGACUCCUACGGGAGGCAGAGGUGGCGAAGAUUGCACAAUGGGAGCGGGCCUGAUGCAGCGACGGCGCGUGGGGGAUGACGACGUUCGGGUUAUAAACUCCUUUCGCUAGGAACGAAGCUGUUUGUGACGGUACCUAGAUAAGAAGCACCGGCUAACUACGUG
This 465-nucleotide ribosomal RNA is filed under the name uncultured bacterium. RNAcentral's name for it is "partial 16S ribosomal RNA". It matches the Rfam family "Bacterial small subunit ribosomal RNA", at positions 28 to 507 of the family's 1533-position model. The record is from RNAcentral.